Molecule: long non-coding RNA, 275 nt
Organism: Homo sapiens (human)
Lineage: Eukaryota; Metazoa; Chordata; Mammalia; Primates; Hominidae
Exons: 3
Source: RefSeq, a predicted model, not a curated record
UUCAUCUGACAAGGCAAAUUUAGAAUUUGCAGAAUGUUUAAAAUUAGACUUUUCAACUAAAGUCUCCAAGAAAAUGGUCUCACUGCCAGGGAAGGGACGAAGUGAGGAGGGUGGAAUUAAAGUACCAACAAAGUACUGAGCAGAGCCCCAGGCAGCUUUUCAAAGGCACUACUGCCAAAUAUUCUGCUUCUCAGGAUGAAACAGUAGCUGGCUGCUAGAUGUUCCAUGCCCGAGAACUGACACCAAGUUUAACAAGAGGAAGACAUGCCCCAAAG